UACGGAGGGUCCAAGCGUUAUCCGGAAUUAUUGGGCGUAAAGAGCUCGUAGGCGGUUUGUUGCGUCGGCUGUGAAAUCCCGAGGCUCAACCUCGGGUCUGCAGUCGAUACGAGCAAACUAGAGUGUUGCAGGGGAGACUGGAAUUCCUGGUGUAGCGGUGAAAUGCGCAGAUAUCAGGAGGAACACCGGUGGCGAAGGCGGGUCUCUGGGCAACAACUGACGCUGAGGAGCGAAAGCGUGGGGAGCGAACAGG
RNAcentral lists this ribosomal RNA (253 nucleotides) under uncultured bacterium. RNAcentral's name for it is "partial 16S ribosomal RNA". It matches the Rfam family "Bacterial small subunit ribosomal RNA", at positions 524 to 776 of the family's 1533-position model. The record is from RNAcentral.